GGAAGGGUGGCUGAGUGGUUGAAGGCACCUGACUCGAAAUCAGGCGUAGGGGUAACCCUACCGUGGGUUCGAAUCCCACCCCUUCCGCCA
This 90-nucleotide transfer RNA is filed under the name Verrucomicrobiota bacterium. RNAcentral describes it as "Verrucomicrobia bacterium (anaerobic digester metagenome) tRNA-Ser". It matches the Rfam family "tRNA". From Rfam's summary of the family: Transfer RNA (tRNA) molecules are approximately 80 nucleotides in length. The record is from RNAcentral. Lineage: Bacteria; Pseudomonadati; Verrucomicrobiota. RNAcentral also lists the same sequence under 1 other name.